UACCCGCUGAACUUAAGCAUAUCAAUAAGCGGAGGAAAAGAAACCAACAGGGAUUGCCCCAGUAACGGCGAGUGAAGCGGCAACAGCUCAAAUUUGAAAUCUGGCCCCAGGCCCGAGUUGUAAUUUGCAGAGGAUGCUUUUGGCGCGGUGCCUUCCGAGUUCCCUGGAACGGGACGCCAUAGAGGGUGAGAGCCCCGUACGGUUGGACACCAAGCCUUUGUAAAGCUCCUUCGACGAGUCGAGUAGUUUGGGAAUGCUGCUCUAAAUGGGAGGUACAUUUCUUCUAAAGCUAAAUAUUGGCCAGAGACCGAUAGCGCACAAGUAGAGUGAUCGAAAGAUGAAAAGCACUUUGAAAAGAGGGUUAAACAGCACGUGAAAUUGUUAAAAGGGAAGCGCUUGUGACCAGACUUGCGUCCGGUGAAUCACCCAGCUCUCGCGGCUGGGGCACUUCGCCGGCACAGGCCAGCAUCAGCUUGCCGUCGGGGACAAAAGCUUCAGGAACGUGGCUCCUCUCGGGGAGUGUUAUAGCCUGUUGCACAAUACCCUUCGGCGGGCUGAGGUACGCGCUCCGCAAGGAUGCUGGCGUAAUGGUCAUCAGCGACCCGUCUUGAAACACGGACCAAGGAGUCAACCUUAUGUGCGAGUGUUUGGGUGUUAAACCCCUACGCGUAAUGAAAGUGAACGCAGGUGAGAGCUUCGGCGCAUCAUCGACCGAUCCUGAUGUUCUCGGAUGGAUUUGAGUAAGAGCAUAUAGGGUUGGACCCGAAAGAAGGUGAACUAUGCGUGUGUAGGGUGAAGCCAGAGGAAACUCUGGUGGAGGCUCGCAGCGGUUCUGACGUGCAAAUCGAUCGUCAAACAUGCGCAUGGGGGCGAAAGACUAAUCGAACCUUCUAGUAGCUGGUUUCCGCCGAAGUUUCCCUCAGGAA
This 926-nucleotide ribosomal RNA is filed under the name Colletotrichum sp. MP3. Its description in RNAcentral is "eukaryotic LSU rRNA". It matches the Rfam family "Eukaryotic large subunit ribosomal RNA", at positions 22 to 979 of the family's 3401-position model. The record is from RNAcentral. Lineage: Eukaryota; Fungi; Ascomycota; Sordariomycetes; Glomerellales; Glomerellaceae.